UCGCUCCUACCGAUUUGAGUGGUGCGGUGAACCCUUCGGACCGGUACGCCGGAAAGUUGAGUAAACCUUACCACUUAGAGGAAGGAG
This 87-nucleotide ribosomal RNA is filed under the name uncultured eukaryote. Its description in RNAcentral is "partial small subunit ribosomal RNA". The record is from RNAcentral.